AUGGCAUGUAUUUAAUGCGGGUGGAUGAUUUUAGUUCAGCCGUUUAGCUUGCAUGCAAAAUUAUUUUCUAUUGAAGAUUUUAUUCGCUGCACUCGGUCAUAUUCGAGUCUAUGAUUUUUCUGAAAUUGGUACAUUU
Molecule: small nucleolar RNA, 136 nt
Organism: Caenorhabditis elegans
Lineage: Eukaryota; Metazoa; Nematoda; Chromadorea; Rhabditida; Rhabditidae
Source: Ensembl